RNAcentral lists this long non-coding RNA (519 nucleotides) under Phoenix dactylifera (date palm). Its description in RNAcentral is "long non-coding RNA (PDAC_LNC019043)". The record is from RNAcentral. Lineage: Eukaryota; Viridiplantae; Streptophyta; Magnoliopsida; Arecales; Arecaceae.
AACAAAGGGUAAGAAUCCUUGUACGCCAAUCCUACAUGAUAUAAAUAUUUUGCACUAUAUAUAUAUGUUUGAUAUGCUAUGAUCCAGACAAAGCAAAAUGGUUUUUAUAUUUAAAUUGUAUUUUGAUCGUCUUUGCUUGUGAUUGGUAUAAUGAUGGAUGCAUGCAUGCGCAUAACCUACACCUGCAAAAUUUGACUGAUGGAUGUGGUGCUCUAAACUAACCAUGUGAUAUUGGUUGCCCCGUCAUGGGCUGGAAACGUGACUGUGGUUAGUUUAUAGCCAAAAAUAAAUAAAAGAAAAUUGAUGUGUAGAUGUAAACUGGAUUGUAUGAAAAGGAACUUUGGGUUUAUCUUGUUAUUAUGGCAGGCCCCGUCACAGGCUGAAAAUGUGGUAUUUUGGUAGGCCCCCUCACAGGCUAGAAAUGUGGAACUAUAAUGUGCAGGCCCCGCCACAGGCUGAAAAUGUGAUACUUUGGCAGGCCCCAUCACAUGCUAGAAAUGUGGAACUAUAAUGUGCAGG